GUUCUCCCCGGACCCCCAGGCUCCACCCCCAGCACCUCCCACCUCCCGCGCCUCCGCAUCUACGCGUCCCCGGCCACUGGGCCCGGGUCGCACUUCACGUCCACUCGCUUGCCAGCGGCCACGAAGCCUGAGGAAGUCCGCAGGGGUGCGGGAGCUGAGUUAAUUCACUGGAAGGCGGUUCACGGCCUGAGUGCAGCUGCGGGGUGCAGAUCGCCCCAUUCCGACUCGAGAACUCCAGGAGGGGCGACGAGAUUUGCAGCCACCUCCGCGGAGGAUGGAGCAGCCCCGCCCCCCGCAGCGCCGCCGCCGCGGCCGGAUCGAUUAGGCUGGAGG
Molecule: long non-coding RNA, 333 nt
Organism: Pteropus alecto (black flying fox)
Lineage: Eukaryota; Metazoa; Chordata; Mammalia; Chiroptera; Pteropodidae
Exons: 3
Source: RefSeq, a predicted model, not a curated record